Molecule: ribosomal RNA, 390 nt
Filed under: uncultured bacterium
Lineage: Bacteria
Description: bacterial SSU rRNA
Rfam family: Bacterial small subunit ribosomal RNA
Source: RNAcentral
GACGAACGCUGGCGGCGUGCUUAACACAUGCAGGUCGAGCGGUAAGGCCCUUUCGGGGGUACACGAGCGGCGAACGGGUGAGUAACACGUGGGUGACCUGCCCUCAGCUCUGGGAUAAGCCUGGGAAACCGGGUCUAAUACUGGAUAUGACUCCAUGACGCAUGUUGUGGGGUGGAAAGCCUUGUGCGGCUGAGGAUGGGCCCGCGGCCUAUCAGCUUGUUGGUGGGGUGANGGCCUACCAAGGCGACGACGGGUAGCCGGCCUGAGAGGGCGACCGGCCACACUGGGACUGAGACACGGCCAGACUCCUACGGGAGGCAGCAGUGGGGAAUCUUGCGCAAUGGGCGAAAGCCUGACGCAGCGACGCCGCGUGAGGGAUGACGGCCUCGG